This 304-nucleotide ribosomal RNA is filed under the name uncultured bacterium. RNAcentral's name for it is "partial 16S ribosomal RNA". It matches the Rfam family "Bacterial small subunit ribosomal RNA", at positions 509 to 807 of the family's 1533-position model. The record is from RNAcentral.
CAGCAGUCGCCGCGGUAAUACAGAGGGUGCGAGCGUUAAUCGGAUUUACUGGGCGUAAAGCGUGCGUAGGCGGCUUCUUAAGUCGGAUGUGAAAUCCCUGAGCUUAACUUAGGAAUUGCAUUCGAUACUGGGAAGCUAGAGUAUGGGAGAGGAUGGUAGAAUUCCAGGUGUAGCGGUGAAAUGCGUAGAGAUCUGGAGGAAUACCGAUGGCGAAGGCAGCCAUCUGGCCUAAUACUGACGCUGAGGUACGAAAGCAUGGGGAGCAAACAGGAUUAGAGACCCGAGUAGUCCCUGUCUCUUAUAC